This 440-nucleotide ribosomal RNA is filed under the name uncultured bacterium. RNAcentral describes it as "partial 16S ribosomal RNA". It matches the Rfam family "Bacterial small subunit ribosomal RNA", at positions 338 to 795 of the family's 1533-position model. The record is from RNAcentral.
CCUACGGGUGGCAGCAGUAGGGAAUAUUGCACAAUGGGCGAAACCCUGAAGCAGCAACGCCGCGUGGAGGAUGAAGGUUUUCGGAUUGUAAACUCCUUUUGUUAGAGAAGAUAAUGACGGUAUCUAACGAAUAAGCACCGGCUAACUACGUGCCAGCAGCCGCGGUAAUACGGAGGGUGCAAGCGUUACUCGGAAUCACUGGGCGUAAAGAGCGCGUAGGCGGGAUAGCAAGUCAGAUGUGAAAUCCUAUGGCUUAACCAUAGAACUGCAUUUGAAACUGUUAUUCUAGAGUAUAGGAGAGGUAAGUGGAAUUCUUGGUGUAGGGGUAAAAUCCGUAGAGAUCAGGAGGAAUACUCAUUGCGAAGGCGACCUGCUAGAACAUAACUGACGCUGAGGCACGAAAGCGUGGGUAUCGAACAGGAUUAGAUACCCUGGUAGUC